RNAcentral lists this long non-coding RNA (607 nucleotides) under Ananas comosus (pineapple). Its description in RNAcentral is "long non-coding RNA (ACOM_LNC028073)". The record is from RNAcentral. Lineage: Eukaryota; Viridiplantae; Streptophyta; Magnoliopsida; Poales; Bromeliaceae.
CUCAAUAGGAGGGUGGGAAGGAAGGAAAUAAUAGGUAGGGAGAUUCGGCUCCUAUUGUAACAUACCGGAUUUUGAUAUAAAAGUAAAAAUAAAUAAAAAUAGUGUGAGAUGCUAUUUUUAUUGGAUUUAGAGAAGUAAAAAAUAAGUCAGAAGUGACUUGUGCUGAAAUCGGAACGAAAAUAGAAGAUUUAGAAUUUUCUGUGAGAAANGGUGGGAAGGAAGGAAAUAAUAGGUAGGGAGAUUCGGCUCCUAUUGUAACAUACCGGAUUUUGAUAUAAAAGUAAAAAUAAAUAAAAAUAGUGUGAGAUGCUAUUUUUAUUGGAUUUAGAGAAGUAAAAAAUAAGUCAGAAGUGACUUGUGCUGAAAUCGGAACGAAAAUAGAAGAUUUAGAAUUUUCUGUGAGAAAUGGGGCUGAAAAAUUAGCAGAAAAUACACAGUGUCAGAAAAUUAUGAAACUGAUAUGUCAAAAUUAUUUUUAUGAGGCUAGAUUUAAAGUUUCAUGCCAUUUUAACACCCGGAAAGUGAAAAAUAAAAUCCGACUGCUGCUAUUUGCUAGAGAUUACAGUUUAGUAGAGCUUUCAGUGACCAAACAGGGUCGAAACUGAAA